Molecule: ribosomal RNA, 250 nt
Filed under: uncultured bacterium
Lineage: Bacteria
Description: partial 16S ribosomal RNA
Rfam family: Bacterial small subunit ribosomal RNA
Source: RNAcentral
UACAGAGGGUGCAAGCGUUGUUCGGAUUUACUGGGCGUAAAGCGCGUGUAGGCGGUGGCGUAAGUCGGAUGUGAAAUCCCUCGGCUCAACCGAGGACGUGCAUCCGAUACUGCGUCACUUGAGUACCGGAGGGGAUGGCGGAAUUCCCGGUGUAGAGGUGAAAUUCGUAGAUAUCGGGAGGAACACCUGUGGCGAAGGCGGCCAUCUGGACGGUAACUGACGCUGAGACGCGAAAGCGUGGGUAGCAAAC